Molecule: ribosomal RNA, 465 nt
Filed under: uncultured bacterium
Lineage: Bacteria
Description: partial 16S ribosomal RNA
Rfam family: Bacterial small subunit ribosomal RNA
Source: RNAcentral
GACGAACGCUGGCGGCGUGCUUAACACAUGCAAGUCGAACGGAAAGGCCCUGCUUGCAGGGUACUCGAGUGGCGAACGGGUGAGUAACACGUGGGUGAUCUGCCCUGCACUUCGGGAUAAGCUUGUGAAACUGGGUCUAAUACCGGAUAGGACCGCACUUUAUUGUGUGUGGUGGAAAGUUUUUUCGGUGUAGGAUGAUCUCGCGGCCUAUCAGCUUGUUGGUGGGGUAAUGGCCUACCAAGGCGGCGACGGGUAGUCGGCCUGAGAGGGUGUACGGCCACAUUGGGACUGAGAUACGGCCCAGACUCCUACGGGAGGCAGCAGUGGGGAAGAUUGAACAAUGGGAGAAAGCCUGAUGCAGCGACGCCGCGUGGGGGAUGAAGGCCUUCGGGUUGUAAACUCCUUUCGGGAGGGACGAAGCUUUUUGUGACGGUACCUAGAUAAGAAGCACCGGCUAACUACGUG